Entelurus aequoreus (snake pipefish) is the source of this 360-nucleotide long non-coding RNA. RefSeq lists it as uncharacterized. NCBI's taxonomy places the organism in Eukaryota, Metazoa, Chordata, Actinopteri, Syngnathiformes, Syngnathidae. The record is from RefSeq and is a predicted model, not a curated record. The transcript is spliced from 4 exons.
ACACACUUGUACAGGACCUCGGACGCCAAGCCCAGUGAGUGCCGUUGCCGUGGGAGCCCAGCGGACACCGCCCGCAUUGCCAGGAGCCGUCACUUGGCGAGGAGCACGCCACGCCGGGGAAGCACGGUCGCGACUGCAAACACGGACAUGUCCCAAAGCAAAGUAGGAUGACAUCCGAGCCCUGGUGCACUCCACUACUAUCUUCUAGAAGGUUCCCGGUGAUGAGACGCAUGUCAUGGAUCUCGGCGAACAUCUGCACCGCGUCUUCACACGAGUGACGACACACUGCUGAUGUCACGUUGGCGAGCCCUGCGCCGCACACACCUGCACAGGAGGAGAGAGUGUGUGUAUGGACCUACU